Molecule: ribosomal RNA, 468 nt
Filed under: uncultured bacterium
Lineage: Bacteria
Description: partial 16S ribosomal RNA
Rfam family: Bacterial small subunit ribosomal RNA
Source: RNAcentral
GACGAACGCUGGCGGCGUGCUUAACACAUGCCAGUCGAACGGAAAGGCCCUGCUUUUGUGGGGUGCUCGAGUGGCGAACGGGUGAGUAACACGUGAGUAACCUGCCCUUGACUUUGGGAUAACUUCAGGAAACUGGGGCUAAUACCGGAUAGGAGCUCCUGCUGCAUGGUGGGGGUUGGAAAGUUUCGGCGGUUGGGGAUGGACUCGCGGCUUAUCAGCUUGUUGGUGGGGUAGUGGCUUACCAAGGCUUUGACGGGUAGCCGGCCUGAGAGGGUGACCGGCCACAUUGGGACUGAGAUACGGCCCAGACUCCUACGGGAGGCAGCAGUGGGGAAUAUUGCACAAUAGGCGGAAGCCUGAUGCAGCGACGCCGCGUGCGGGAUGACGGCCUACGGGUUGUAAACCGCUUUCGCCUGUGACGAAGCGUGAGUGACGGUAAUGGGUAAAGAAGCACCGGCUAACUACGUG